UACGAAGGGGGCGAGCGUUGUCCGGAAUUACUGGGCGUAAAGAGUGUGUAGGCGGUGCUCUAAGUCUGUUGUGAAAUCUCCCGGCUUAACCGGGAGGGUGCGGCGGAAACUGGAGUGCUUGAGGGUGGGAGAGGUAAGCGGAAUUCCUGGUGUAGCGGUGAAAUGCGUAGAUAUCAGGAGGAACACCGGUGGCGAAGGCGGAUCUCUGGGCCAUUACUGACGUGCGUGAGGCAGACGAAGCGUGGGGAGCGAACAGG
RNAcentral lists this ribosomal RNA (257 nucleotides) under uncultured bacterium. RNAcentral's name for it is "partial 16S ribosomal RNA". It matches the Rfam family "Bacterial small subunit ribosomal RNA", at positions 524 to 776 of the family's 1533-position model. The record is from RNAcentral.